Lolium perenne is the source of this 3472-nucleotide non-coding RNA. The record is from RefSeq and is a predicted model, not a curated record. NCBI's taxonomy places the organism in Eukaryota, Viridiplantae, Streptophyta, Magnoliopsida, Poales, Poaceae.
AAAGCACAACUCCAUCUUUCUUCCUCUCUCUUUAACCUAACACACCAAGGUCAUGCCAAAAUUUCAAAUAAUUUGGUGUCACCUUAAUGCACACUUCUACUUGAUCUUGCCAAAUUAUUUGAAUUGGAGAUACUCCAUUUCAAUGGUUGGGUCUUUGCUAUUUUACCAAACAAAUUGUGAACAUGAUUUCAUGGAGCAAUUCUUUCUUUUAGCUCUAUGCAUAAACCUUCUUCUAUUCCUUUUUCUCAUCAUCACAUGUAAGGUGAUGUGCUCUCAUAUUCUUUUCUCUUCUCAUUCAAACCAUCCUUCCUCCUUCUAAUAAAACAGUUUUUAUUUUAGAAAAGAAAAUAAAAACAGUUUUUGAAAAGAGAAGAGAGAAAGAAAAUAAAAGAAAAACCCUAUCUACACCUAACCCUGGCCCAACCCCAACCGAAGCCCACCUAGCUACCAAACCAGCAGCCCUUUUUCUUUGAUCCAACCCAGCUCCAACGUGUGGAGCACGAGUUCCCGUUCGUCGUCUUCCUCGUCGUACGAACCAGGCAACCACCGUAUGAUUCUCUUCCCCUCUCCGAUGCUUGCCACAUGCCUCCUUUCCCCCUCCUUUACACUCCAGCAGCUCCUCCAACCCUAGCCCUCUUCCUCCAUCGAGCCGCCGCCACCAUCUCCUUCCUUUUUUUUCUCCACCUCGCUGUGAGCAGCUUGAGGGACAAUGCCGCCGCUGCCGUCGACCGCCGUCGCCAUGGCCGUCGACGCGCCCACUUGAGCCGUGGAAUCGGACCACCGCUGUCCCCUCUUCGUCCUCGUCUGCCUCACGGAGAUCGAGCCGCCAAGAGCUGCACGAGCCCGUCCUCGCCUUCCCGUCGACGUCUUCCCGGCCUCUCCUUCGUCCUCGUCGCCGGCAGCCCUCCUCCUCGUCUCCGACCACCCCUGGACGCCGACGCAGAGCAGUACGAGCAGGAGUACGAGUUCCCUCUGGAGGAUCGUGUCGGUGCUUCUACCUCUGAUCUGACAGGCGAGCCCACCCCUUCACCUAUUUUACAUUUACAUGCUCUUUUGAUCUAUUGCUAUCCUUAUGUUGCGAUUCUGUUGUGUCACGUGUCCUAUCCACCUGUUACCUAUAUGUCCGAGAUACACCUCCUCGCCCUACCUAUUGUUUGUUGUUUGCCAGCUUUGCGAGUCGUAGGCGAGUUUAGGAUUUUUGUUGAUAUCUCGAAAUGUUCGGGAUAUCUUGUUGGGUUGUUGACACAUGUACUACCUUUUCAAAAUGAUGAUAACUUUUGCUACAACUUAAAAUUGCUAAGGAAUAUAAUAUGCAGAGGCAUCUGUGAGCCCCUUUGCGAAAGCAUCGGAACUUUGACUUGCUAAUGUCCCCUAGGACCCGAGUUCUUGUUAUCUGUUUCUAAGACUGAGCGCGCUAACCACUCGUGGGAGGAUUUAUCGGGACCCCCCAUCACCCAUUACCAUUUCUCAAGUCUGUUGAAAAGGGGGCCACAACCUUGGUUUUAUUUGCCUAUGCCAUGUAUGCCAUGUAUGCCAUGCUUUACCUACUGUUGCCUUCAGGUGUUUAAUACUGUUGCCUUCGGGUGUUUAUUUCUGUACUGUACCUUGCGGGACGUUUAGCGAAGCGUGUGGUUCGCACGCCUAGCCGCCGGCGCAAACCUCUGAGUCCGUCUCGGAGUACGGCCGAACUUCGAUACGGGUAGCUUAGGCGGGUGGCCCCCUAGACAUUCUUGUUGAUUUGGGAACGGUCUUGUUGUGAGACUCCGCCGUAAUUAAGCGGGUUCGAGCAUGCGUGUAUGGUAACAUUGGUGCACCCCUGCAGGGUUAAAUCUUAUCGAUAAGCCGUGUCCGCGGUUAUGGACGACUUGGAGCUGUUUAACUCGAUCAUAGAACAACUUACACCUAAAGCUGUCGUUAAUAACUUGCUAAUUACUUGCGUAGUAAGUUAGCCCUAUUAUAAUGGAAUGGAUAUAAAAUUGUCAACUGUGUGAGUGCCUUGUUAGUACCUCUUGGCUAAGGGGGAUCGCAUUUGGCUGGGUUGUUGUUUGCAGAGUAUAGAACUGCUAGAAUAUGCGCUCUCUCACCUUCUCUACUAGAUGGAAGUUGUAGCGUGUCUCUAUUGGUUAGUGCUUUGCUGCCGCUAAACUCCACAUAAAGCCGGGCGAAGUUUACACCGCCCACCAGCAAGCAUAGCUGGUCUGCCGAAGAUGACGUGGUAGGAGCUCUUGAAGGGCACAACUUCAAACGUGAUCUUAUCUUCGCGGAAAUUAUGAACAUCGCCACAAGCCACGGGAAGUGUGAUGCUGCCGAGGGAGUUCGCCUUCUUACCCGGAACCACGCCAUGAAACUCAGUGUUGCUGUGUUUGAGCUGUUCCUUGGUGAGGUUCAUCCGCUCUAGAGUCUCCAGGUACAUGAUGUUCAAGCUGGCUCCGCCAUCCAUGAGGCACUUGGAGAAGUCAUACCCGUCUAUGCGGGGACUUACAACCAAAGCGUAGCAUUCCUUUGGCACAAUUGCGGGAUGGUCCUUCCGAUCAAAUGUGCACGGGAUUUUCGACCACCUGACGUACUGCGGCACAGCCGGAACCAUGGCGUUCAGGAUCCGGGUAGCUAACUUGGAGGCGCGUACUGUUGGGGUUCCGAGGAAAGUGUGGUAAGCCCCCACGCUCUUUUUGUCGAAUGGAUUGGAUUUACCUGCGGCUCCUGCCUUGGGAUCCGGCGAGUUAUCAUCCUCAUCCAUCGCCUCGGAACUAUCGUCCUCAUUGUCUUUGUUCUUGCUCUUGCCACCUUUUCCUCGAGGGCGGUGCUUCCGGGCGCGCUUGUAUCCGGCCUCCAGGUCGUUCUUUAGAUCAUUGACCCACUUGCAGUUGCGGUUGGUAUGAGUGGAUGUAAGCCCCAGGAGUAGGAAAACCCAGAGCGCGCAUGUAAGAGGGGUUUAUGUGCAUGAGGUCACUACAAAGGACCGUGAGGUCGCCUCGCAUUCCCAAGCAUAUGGGUAGGCCAAGCAACAGCUCGACACGCCCAUGCACACAACACCCGCCUCAAAGGCUCACGGUAGGCUUUCCGGGCUCGAGUGCUUCACCUUCUGUGCACUUCACACAUACACACACUGUGCACAGGAUACAAGGGUAGAAUACAGCUUGAAUAUCACAACAUGACUAUGUAUGACACAAAAGAUGGAAAUAAGGUUCAUAUAUAUAGCAACGCUCUAAUGAGCAAGAUCCAAAUGACACUCAGGAGGGAAACAUAUCCCAUCAGUACAUCAUACAUAAGAUAGCCAAAUAGUCUGGGUACAGACAAGAUCCAAAUUGGACUAAGAGUCCUGAAGAUAAUCAAGCGGUAUUCCCAUAACCAACAUGCCACAGGCUGCUGCCUUAGGAACGAUCCUGCUACGCAACGAAGUCGUCGUCCGUGAACUCGACAAAGUAGCCUCCAGCGUACUGCUCGUCAUCUGUCAUACCUGUUUGUCGAAAAG